This 232-nucleotide ribosomal RNA is filed under the name uncultured bacterium. RNAcentral describes it as "partial 16S ribosomal RNA". It matches the Rfam family "Bacterial small subunit ribosomal RNA", at positions 99 to 334 of the family's 1533-position model. The record is from RNAcentral.
CGGACGGGUGAGUAAUGUCUGGGAAACUGCCUGGUGGAGGGGGAUAACUACUGGAAACGGUAGCUAAUACCGCAUAACGUCGCAAGACCGAAGAGGGGGACCUUCGGGCCUCUUGCCAUCGGAUGUGCCCAGAUGGGAUUAGCUAGUAGGUGGGGUAACGGCUCACCUAGGCGACGAUCCCUAGCUGGUCUGAGAGGAUGACCAGCCACACUGGAACUGAGACACGGUCCAG